UACGAUUUCGUAUGCGUCCCCAUAGUAAA
This 29-nucleotide small RNA is filed under the name Bombyx mori (domestic silkworm). RNAcentral describes it as "ovarian small RNA-21043". The record is from RNAcentral. Lineage: Eukaryota; Metazoa; Arthropoda; Insecta; Lepidoptera; Bombycidae.